Molecule: non-coding RNA, 72 nt
Organism: Ictidomys tridecemlineatus (thirteen-lined ground squirrel)
Lineage: Eukaryota; Metazoa; Chordata; Mammalia; Rodentia; Sciuridae
Source: Rfam
GGGGGUGUGGCUCAGGGACAGAGCACUUGCCUGGCAGGUGUGAGGCCCUGGGUUCCAUCCCCAGCACACACA